Molecule: long non-coding RNA, 3237 nt
Filed under: Ananas comosus (pineapple)
Lineage: Eukaryota; Viridiplantae; Streptophyta; Magnoliopsida; Poales; Bromeliaceae
Description: long non-coding RNA (ACOM_LNC008912)
Source: RNAcentral
CAAUAUCGACGUUAUCUCUCAAAAAAGCAUAAAUUAUAUCAUAAAAUCCUUUCUGCCAACAUUUGUUAUAAAACUUCUACUUAACACAAGUUAACAAAAAAAUUUUAGUUGAGUUAUGAUUAAUUUACCAGCUAAUUAUAAUAAAAAUACUAGGCUUAGUUUGGUAUUGAGGUCUAUCUAACACUAUUAGAUAAAAUUGAGUUGAGGAAAAAGCAUAUAGGGAUAUACUUCUGCGUUCUCCGGUAGGACCGCAGAAAAUAUAUCGUUACCGACUCAUCGCGAUAUGCGGUAGGCUUAGUUUGGUAUUGAGGUCUAUCUAACGCUAUUAGAUAAAAUUGAGUUAAGGAAAAAGUAUAUAGGGAUAUACUUCUGCGUUCUCCGGUGGGACCGCAGAAAAUAUAUCGUUACAGACUGAUCGCGAUAUGCGGAACGUAAUAUUAUGUACGGAAACAAACAAGGUAUUUUUCCAACGUACUUUCUCACCACACGUGACGCAUUCUCCCCGCAAUCUCAAACGAAGCCUAAUAAAAUUAUUUUGUGUGCACUCGCUAAUUAAAUUUUCAUUCCUGCGAUUCCAAAGCCUAAAUCCUAAAACCUUAGAACUCUAAAACAUUAAUACUAAAACCCUAAUAACCAUAAAAACCUAAAAACCUGAAACCCUAAAAAACCCUAAAACCCCAGGACCCUAAAAUUUCUAGAACCCUAAAAUUUCACUGUGCAUAUGAUAUGUAUGUGUACACUAGGGCAUGUUUGGUUCAGAGUCGGAAUCAGAAUCGGAAUCGGAAUCGGAAUCAAAAUAAGCUAGAAUCGAAAUCGAAAUGACUCAUUACCUAAUUCUGUUUGGUUCAUCACCUGAAUCGGAAUCGGAAUAAAUCAUUCUCAUUGUCGAUGUUUGGUUCAGGUGGAUAUAAAAAACGUAAUCAAAUUAAUAUAUUAACAUUAUCUUUAUAAUAUAUUAAUUUAAAUUCAAAUUAAAAAUUUAAAUAUUAAAAAUUUAUAUCAAAAUUUUGAAAUAAUGUCAAAAUUUUAAAUCUAUUUUUUUUAAAAAAAAUUAAACUUUGAAGUUGAGUGGAUAAUUCAAAUUAUGAAACUAAAUUUUGAUUUAUUCAAAUUCAAACUAAAAUUACAAUUUAAAUUUUAAUUUGAAUCCAUAAAUUUAAUUUAAGUUUGAAAUAAAAUUUGAAUAAAACUUUAUAUAAAUUAAAAUUUAAUUUAAAUUAAAAUUCAUAAGUUAGAUUCGAAAUACUUGAUUAAAUUUUAAUUUUUAAUUUAAGUUCAAAUUAAAAUUUAAAAUUAUAUAUUUAAUUUUAAAUUUUAACUCAUAUUUUAAUUAAAAAAGUUGAAAAAAUAAAUUUAAUCCGAAUAAAUAUCCAUUCCGUUCGGAUUCAACUUUCAAUCCGGCCUCCUAGGCCGGAUUGAAAAAUGAGGUGAUUGCGGGAUUCCUAUUCCACUCAGGAAUCAGAAUCGGAAUGGGACUCCCGCGUACCAAACACCUAUAAACGGAUUCACCCAUUCCGAUUCCGAUUCCGAUUCUAGGGUGAAAAAGAAGCGAACCAAACACGCCCUAAUUAGUGUAUGUGAUACACACCAGCAAAUUUAUCUGAUAAAAAAGUCAAAAUAAAAUUUUAGAUAGAAUUGUCAAAAGUAAAAUUUUAGAAUAAAAUUUCAUUAAUUAAAUUUAUGUUAUAGUAUUUUAAAUAUCUUAUAUUAAAAUAAAAAAAAAAUUGUUAUUGGAUUUAUGGUACACUGGGUGCAGCGUAAAUAUAGAUGGGACACGUGUCAACACAGAGAUAUUACCCCACGCACUGUAACACGUGGCAGCACAGCAACUUCACUCCACAAAUUUUAGUUAGAAGAAUAUAUAUAGAACAGAUACAUCCAAGACCCUCCCGUGGACCAUAUAUAUGUCCACAGCCACCGGUCUAUGAUGCACUAGGUGCGUCGAAAGGAUCCCAACGACAUGUGGCAGUACAACAACCUCACUCCAAGAACUUUAGUAUAUAGUAAUAAUAGAUGCUUGAUAAUUCAGGCCGGUCAAACCUUACUAUUUCCAGCUAUUUCGGAAUAGCUUGAAAUUUACCAUUUCACCAUUUUGGUGGAAUAGUGUUAUUCUAAUGUUUAAUUUUCAACUUUAUUAAAAUUAUAAAUUAAAUUAAAACUAAAUUAUAAAAAAUAUAAUAUAUCAUAUAUUAUAUAUUAUAAUAUAUUAUUUUUAUUAUAAAAUUAUUAAUUGUACUAUAUUAAUACAUAUUAUUUAUAUUUAAAUAUUAUAAUAAAUUUUAUAAUAAAUUAUAUUUAAAUAUUAUAAUAAAUUUUUUUUAUUAAAUUUAAGUUUAAGUAGAAUUUUUAAAAAAAUUAUACAUUUAUUAUAAUAAAUUAUUUUUAUUAAUCGUUUCUACUGUCACACUCCGGAUUACUCGUUUCUCCGAGCACGCCAACAGACCUGCCGUAUACAUAGAAAUUUUUCCUGUAUACGAAGCGAAAGCUGUACCUGUACAUGUAAUCAUACAACACUACAACCAGUAGUAUAGAACUGCUAAAACUAAAAGCAUAUAUAAAUAAUACNAAUAAAUUAUAUUUAAAUAUUAAAUAAAUUAUUUUUAUUAAAUUUAAGUUUAAGUUUUUUUUAGAAUUUUUAAAAAAAUUAUAAAUUUAUUAAAAAAUUUAUUUUUAUCAAAUUCAUAAAUUUAUUUUAAUAAAAUUAUUUUUAUUAAUUGUUCCCACCUCUAUUCUUAUUUUAAAAUUUUAAAAAUUUUAAAAUUUAUAAUUUGUAAUCUCAAAAUUAAAGUUUAUAAUUUUAAAUUCUAACUUUUAAAUUUUAAUUUUUAAUUUUGAUAUUUUAAUUUUUUAAAAUUUAAACUUUGAUAUUUUAUAUUUUUAAAAUUUAAAUUUGAUCUUAAACUUAAAGUUUGAAAUUUAAAAUUUAAAAUUUUGAAUUUAAAAUUUGAGUUUUUAAAUUUUAAAAUUUUAAUUUCAAAAUUUGAAAUUUAAAAGUUAAAAUUUUUAAUUUAAUAAUAUAAAUAUAAAAUUUAAAAAUUUAAAUUCAAAUAUAAUAAGAGGGGUAAUUAUUUAUAAUUAUUCGCUAUCUUUCUUUAUCUAUACAAAUACUAUUUUUCUUAUUCCCGAAAACAUCCCAAUUUCAUCCAAACACAAAAAUAAUCUAAUUCAUACUUAAAAAUAUACUUAUUUCUGAAUUAGCCGGUUCUUACUUAUAUCCGAAUCAACCGAUACCUAAAA